This 381-nucleotide unclassified non-coding RNA is filed under the name uncultured bacterium. RNAcentral describes it as "contains 16S-23S intergenic spacer region". The record is from RNAcentral.
UCCUGGUUUCCCAGGCAGUCCCGUCAGAGUGCUCCCGAAGGAUAGCAACUGACAGUAAGAGUUGCGCUCGUUAGAGGACUUAACCCAACAUCUCACGACACGAGCUGACGACAGCCAUGCAGCACCUGUGUACCCGUCCAAGAUUACUCUUGGAAAACCAUAUUUCUACAGCGGUCAAGUACAUGUCAAGCCCAGGUAAGGUUCCUCGCGUAUUGUCGAAUUAAACCACAUGUUCCACCGCUUGUGCGGACCCCCGUCAAUUCCUUUGAGUUUUAGUCUUGCGACCGUACUCCCCAGGCGGAUCACUUAACGCGUUAGCUUCGAUACCAAUUUUGCAAGCAAAACUGACAUCCAGUGAUCAUCGUUUACAGCGUGGACUAC